UGAGUCUGUCCGCACCUGAUCAGCAUGCCGCGUGAGUGAUGAAGGCCUUCGGGUUGUAAAGCUCUUUUGGCGGGGACGAUAAUGACGGUACCUGACGAAUAAGCUCCGGCUAACUUCGUGCCAGCAGCCGCGGUAAUACGAAGGGAGCUAGCGUUGUUCGGAAUUACUGGGCGUAAAGGGCGCGUAGGCGGUCUUAUAAGUUUGGUGUGAAAGCCCUGGGCUUAACCUAGGAAUAGCAUUGGAUACUGUAAGACUUGAGACCGAGAGAGGGAAAUGGAAUUGCGAGUGUAGAGGUGAAAUUCGUAGAUAUUCGCAAGAACACCAGUGGCGAAGGCGAUUUCCUGGCUCGGUACUGACGCUAAGGCGCGAAAGCGUGGGGAGCAAACAGGAUUAGAUACCCUGGUAGUCCACGCUGUAAACGAUGAAUGCUAGAUGUUGGGGAUUAAAAUCUUCAGUGUCGUCGCUAACGCAAUAAGCAUUCCGCCUGGGGAGUACGGUCGCAAGAUUAAAACUCAAAUGAAUUGACGGA
Molecule: ribosomal RNA, 529 nt
Filed under: uncultured bacterium
Lineage: Bacteria
Description: bacterial SSU rRNA
Rfam family: Bacterial small subunit ribosomal RNA
Source: RNAcentral